CUCAAUACAACACAUCUAGAUUGAUGGUGUCAAACAUCUCACUUCACGGUUCAGGAGAAAAGAAAACCUGCUCUGAGGGAAAUCCAGAGUGAAUCUUUAUAUUUGAGUGAAUCUUUAUAUUUGAGUUUGACAUGCUGUCCUGGGAGAGAACCCUGAGCUCGGAGAUGGAUGAGCCUGGUCAGGGAGCAUUAGGAGGGAUACGAGAUCAGAUUGUAGGAAAAUGGAGUACCCUGGGAAAAGCCACGCGAACACCGGGAGACCAUGUAAACUCUGCACAGAGACUGCCGACUGGCUCAGCUAGGACUUGAACCAUUGGCCCUCUUGCUGUGAGGCAGUAGUGCUAGCCACUGAGCCGCCGUGUCACCCGAUACCAGAAUUGAGGAGGAGGGAGAAGGGAAGGAUAGGGGGGUUUCCAAAACGAACAUAAGGAUUAAUUAAUUUUGGGAUGAUCCGAUUGGCUAGCUAGUGAUUAGCGAUAAGGACCAGCUGUAGUCAAUCAUAUCACGUGCUCCUAUCGAAAUUAGUUUGUGAAUCUUCAUUUAGUAAUGUCAAAUUUGUGCAUGCAUGUUGUAAUCUUA
Danio aesculapii is the source of this 578-nucleotide long non-coding RNA. RefSeq lists it as uncharacterized. The record is from RefSeq and is a predicted model, not a curated record. Lineage: Eukaryota; Metazoa; Chordata; Actinopteri; Cypriniformes; Danionidae. The transcript has 3 exons.